GCUUGCUUCUUGGGGUUGUAGGACACUCUAUACGGAGUUACAAAAGAAAGUUAUAAAUGAAGCGGUCUGGAAAGGCCCGCCAAAGACGGUAACAGCCCGGUAGUUGAAAUGGCUUUCCCUCCAGAGUGGAUCCUGAGUACGGCGGAACACGUGAAAUUCCGUCGGAAUCCGGGAGGACCAUCUCCCAAGGCUAAAUACUCCCUAGUGACCGAUAGUGAACCAGUACCGUGAGGGAAAGGUGAAAAGCACCCCGGAAGGGGAGUGAAACAGUUCCUGAAACCGUGUGCCUACAAGUAGUUAGAGCCCGUUAAUGGGUGAUAGCGUGCCUUUUGUAGAAUGAACCGGCGAGUUACGAUUUGUUGCAAGGUUAAGCGGAAAAAGCGGAGCCGUAGCGAAAGCGAGUCUGAAUAGGGCGCAUAAGUAACAGGUCGUAGACCCGAAACCAGGUGAUCUACCCAUGUCCAGGAUGAAGGUAAGGUAAUACUUACUGGAGGUCCGAACCCACGCACGUUGAAAAGUGCGGGGAUGAGGUGUGGGUAGCGGAGAAAUUCCAAUCGAACUUGGAGAUAGCUGGUUCUCUCCGAAAUAGCUUUAGGGCUAGCCUCGAGGUAAAGAGUCAUGGAGGUAGAGCACUGUUUGGACUAGGGGCCCUUCUCGGGUUACCGAAUUCAGAUAAACUCCGAAUGCCAUGUACUUAUACUCGGGAGUCAGACUGCGAGUGAUAAGAUCCGUAGUCGAAAGGGAAACAGCCCAGACCACCAGUUAAGGUCCCCAAAUAUAUGUUAAGUGGAAAAGGAUGUGGGGUUGCUUAGACAACCAGGAUGUUGGCUUAGAAGCAGCCACCAUUGAAAGAGUGCGUAAUAGCUCACUGGUCGAGUGACCCCGCGCCGAAAAUGUACCGGGGCUAAACAUAUUACCGAAACUGUGGAUGAACCUCAUUAGAGGUUCGUGGUAGGAGAGCGUUCUAAGGGCGGUGAAGUCAGACCGGAAGGACUGGUGGAGCGCUUAGAAGUGAGAAUGCCGGUAUGAGUAGCGAAAGAAGGGUGAGAAUCCCUUCCACCGAAUAUCUAAGGUUUCCUGAGGAAGGCUCGUCCGCUCAGGGUUAGUCGGGACCUAAGCCGAGGCCGAUAGGCGUAGGCGAUGGACAACAGGUAGAGAUUCCUGUACCAGUGCUAAUUGUUUAACCGAUGGGGUGACACAGAAGGAUAGGGAAUCGCACGAAUGGAAAUGUGCGUCCAAGCAGUGAGUGUGAG
RNAcentral lists this ribosomal RNA (1253 nucleotides) under Listeria monocytogenes. RNAcentral describes it as "partial 23S ribosomal RNA". It matches the Rfam family "Bacterial large subunit ribosomal RNA", at positions 283 to 1529 of the family's 2925-position model. The record is from RNAcentral. Lineage: Bacteria; Bacillati; Bacillota; Bacilli; Caryophanales; Listeriaceae.